This 83-nucleotide transfer RNA is filed under the name Bacteriophage sp. RNAcentral's name for it is "tRNA-Trp". It matches the Rfam family "tRNA". Rfam says of the family: Transfer RNA (tRNA) molecules are approximately 80 nucleotides in length. Their secondary structure includes four short double-helical elements and three loops (D, anti-codon, and T loops). Further hydrogen bonds mediate the characteristic L-shaped molecular structure. tRNAs have two regions of fundamental functional importance: the anti-codon, which is responsible for specific mRNA codon recognition, and the 3' end, to which the tRNAs corresponding amino acid is attached (by aminoacyl-tRNA synthetases). tRNAs cope with the degeneracy of the genetic code in two manners: having more than one tRNA (with a specific anti-codon) for a particular amino acid; and 'wobble' base-pairing, i.e. permitting non-standard base-pairing at the 3rd anti-codon position. The record is from RNAcentral.
AGGCGCGUAGCUCAACUGGUAGAGCAGCGGUCUCCAAAACCGUGGCGGUAACGCCGAUGGGGGUUCGAAUCCCUCCGCGCCUG